Molecule: ribosomal RNA, 855 nt
Filed under: Triticum aestivum (bread wheat)
Lineage: Eukaryota; Viridiplantae; Streptophyta; Magnoliopsida; Poales; Poaceae
Description: partial small subunit ribosomal RNA
Source: RNAcentral
GCAACACCUCGUUGCCUCUCCUUCUCCGUUCAUUCUUUUCCCAAGUCCAGCCGCAGCCGCCGCCGGAUCCGGUUGCCCUCGACCCAACGCAGGACGCCGCAGCCCCUACAAGUCCAGCCGCCGCCGGAUCCGGCUGAGUUUAGCUUUCUGGUCGGUGCAGCCACUAAAAAAGCAUUCUACACAAAAAAAUCCCCACCGAGAAGCUCUCAAUUGCGUUGCUCUUCUUCCACAUCUCCAUUCCUCUAGCACAGAGCUGCUCUUCUUCUUCUUCCCUCUAUCCAUCCAUCCAGCGAGCCCACGAACCCACAUCGUCAGCGCUGCUCUCCUUCUCUUCUCUCUAUCAGCGGCUGCUCUCCUUCCUCUUCUAUCCGUUCUCCAGCCACACCAAACUCACGCACGCCCGUGGCGGCUGCUUCGCGUUCGUCGCCCGGUUGCGGGGCGGCUGCAUAUCGUGUAUGGGCUCGUGGUGGUCGGGCCGCGCGCACGGUGCUGGCUGGGCUUGUGGCGGAGGGUGCGGCAGCAGUGGCCUCGACCUUGGAGGCGCGGCAGUGGUGUGGCCCGGCCGCGCACACGGUGUUGGCUGGGCCUGUGGCGGAGGGCGCGGCAGCGGUGGUCUACUCAGGGUCGACGCAACAACGGUGGCCUGCUCAAGGUCGACCUUGGCGGCUGCUCGACGGGGCCGCGUGGAUCUGCGUCGGGGCUCCGGGCUCCGGAUCGGCGUGGUCGUGUCCAGCCCACCCUCCUCCGACUACGCCUUGCUGCGGGGCUGCGGGCCCAGAUCUCGUCGGUGGACGCUUGGACUAUUUUUUCUGAAUCUUCACCUGGGCUCUCUUUUUUUCUUUAAGAUUAGCCUAA